This is a non-coding RNA of Microcebus murinus (gray mouse lemur), 1560 nucleotides long. NCBI's taxonomy places the organism in Eukaryota, Metazoa, Chordata, Mammalia, Primates, Cheirogaleidae. The record is from RefSeq and is a predicted model, not a curated record.
UUUCCUUUUGAAGUAUUACAUGAAGUUGUUCUGUUAACUUGAAGGCUAAUUCAUGCUGCUGAUUAGUUAUGGUUCUCCAUGAAAAGGCAGUUGUUUGUACUUUGAAACACUGGGGUCUAAGCAUCCUACAAUUUUGACAAUGCAUUCUUUCACAAUUUCUAUGUCACUGAAUGGCUUCCCUUUUUUCCCAAGUAUAUCAGCUACUUUCUAAGUUGUUUCAGUGGUAUUAUUUCCAGGUCUUAUCGCUACUUGAAAGAAUUAUCUUUGCUCUUACUUUUCAUCUUUUAAUUUCUGAAAUACAACCUUUUGUAUCUCUCCCCCUAAUUUAAAAUAUUUAUGGGGGCUGAAGGAGAAGAUGGCGGUCUCCACAGCAGUUAAAGUUCCUUGUAAUUUUUGCUUGUUGGAAGAACUUGAAGAAGGACAAAAAGGAGUAGGCGAUGGUACGGUUAGCUGGGGCCUAGAAGAUGAUGAAGAUAUGACACUUACAAGGUGGACAGGCAUGAUUAUUGGGCCACCAAGGACAAAUUAUGAAAACAGAACAUACUACUUGAAAGUAGAAUGUGGAUCUAAAUACCCAGAAGCUCCUCCAUCAGUUAGAUUUGUAACAAAAUUAAUAUGAAUGGAAUAAAUAAUUCCAGUGGGAUGGUGGAUGCAAGGAGCAUACCAGUGUUAGCAAAAUGGCAAAAUUCAUAUAGCAUUAAAGCUGUACUUCAAGAGCUAAGACAUCUAAUGAUGUCCAAAGAAAAUAUGAAGCUUCCACAGCCACCAGAAGGACAAACUUACAACAAUUAAUUUUAGUGGAUCUCAAACUUAUCUUUGAUCAACAACCUUCUACUCAUGUUAAUGUCUUGAUUAAAUAUCACAAUGCAAAAUACCCACACAUUAAGUAAAAGAAUUCCACCUGGUAAACAUAACCUGGACAUUUGUAUUAAAUAAGAAUAUAUUUAAUAUAUGUACACCCAUUAUGUUUUCAGGUAACAGGAGGAAAAAUGCAGCACAAUUUUUUUUCUCUUGUUAAUGCAUUGUCAUUUAAACAUAAACCUGGAAUACUCGAGACAGAAUUCAGGUUUACAAGAUGAAAGUGUGAAGAGGUGUCAGAUGGCAGCGGAAGCAUGUGUGUUUCUGAAAAGUAAAAAUCCCAAGAAGGAAAAACAGAACUGGCAUGCGUUAUCCAUCUUGCUUAGUGAAAGGGCUGCAGUUGACAUUGUUUAAAGUAGCAGGUACAAUGAAUAUUGUCACAAAUUGUGUUAAUUUUUGAAGCAGUGUGGGUGCUGACUACUAGUAUCAAAAAUAUGUUCAGGAUUGUUUUGAUACCUGUAUUUAUAAUAAAAAAUGUGGGGAGUUUUAAUGAGUUUCUGUUAAAAGCUGUUCCUGUGUGUUACAUGUAACAGACAUGGUAAAUAUUUGUUUACAGUCUUUGUUUAACAAACCACACAUUUAAGUUUAAGUGAAGUCAAGAAAAAGGAAAUAGGUGUACGGAUAUGUGAUUUUGAGAUUAAAGUUAGUCUUAAAAUGUAAAUAAAAUGUGGGACGUGAAAAAAAAACAAAAUAUUUAUGGUC